This 45-nucleotide non-coding RNA is filed under the name Schistosoma curassoni. The record is from RNAcentral. Lineage: Eukaryota; Metazoa; Platyhelminthes; Trematoda; Strigeidida; Schistosomatidae.
AUCUAGCUGACGUGUACCGGGUAGGACGAAACGCGCGUCCUGGAU